Molecule: non-coding RNA, 1642 nt
Organism: Phascolarctos cinereus (koala)
Lineage: Eukaryota; Metazoa; Chordata; Mammalia; Diprotodontia; Phascolarctidae
Source: RefSeq, a predicted model, not a curated record
CUGAGGCUGGUGCCUCAGGUCCUCCUGAAUCCAGGGCUGGUGCUCUAUCCACUGCACCACCUGGCUGCCCCCAUCUCUGGAAUUUUAAAGACCAAACAUCUCUUUCUACAGAAAGGACAAGAGUAGCCCCAGAAUCUUAGGCAACUGGAGGCAAUAAUGCCUGACAUGUACCACCCACAGCUGACUGUGAACCAACCAAUAAGUGGGCAUUGAUGAAACAGUCUCUAAAUACCAGGCCAUGUAUUGGUUCUUCUAGGGUUACAACAAUGGAAGUGAGUGUGUGUGUGUAUACAUAUAUGUAUACAUGUAUACAUAUAGACUACAUAUAUACUAUAUGCAUGUCUAUAUGAUCAGAAACAAUAUCUAUAACUUUUUGGUGACCCCUAAUAUUAUAAAUUACAGAGGAGUUGUAGAUAAAAUUAUGGAUCUGAAACAAGAAAAAAUGUUUGUAAUAAUAGCAAUAUCUAGCAUUUAAAUAACACUUUAAGGUUUGCAAAGUGUUGUGUGUAUAGGAACACACACACGUGUUUGUAUAAAAUCAUUCUGGAAAGAUAGCUUGCAGUGAGCUUAUGAAGUCAAAUGUUCAAGGGGCAGGAAGAUUGAUUUUUUUUUUCACAUAAGCAAUCAUAAUAAAUAGUAUAGCAGUUGAAGCAUUGCAGGUAUUAUCUCAUUUUAUCUAGUGGCAAUUGGGAGCCCCUAAAGCUCCUUGAGCUGAGGAUUCCACAGUCAGACCUGUGCUUUUGGGAGCAUCGUAACAUUCCCGUGGUUCACGAUGAGCUCUCCGGCAAAUCCGUUGUAUGUGCAUUUGAACAUAAAGAGCUGAUUUCCAGAAUAGCCUUGGGAGCCAAACUUGUCCCUGCCUGUCCCUCCCGGAGCCGAACCCUUGGUGGUUUGUACAGCAGAUCCCAAAAAGCGAAGGCUGGGAAAGCGGCUGCUCUUUUCCUGUAGUCUUCUGGUAUGGGAAGCAGAGAGUCUCGAACCCCUAAGUUCACUGAACAGGUAUCUUGAAAAACAAACGACAUACAAACAAACGAGUCCUGACCGGGCUUCCUGGCUGCUGCUGCUGCUCAGGUUUCUCUUCCACCCAGUUCCCUUUCAACAAGAAAAGAUCAGGGAAACUCGACAGAAACCGUUAAAACAAUAUUGCAGCCGAACCCGCAGCAUCAGGGGAAAUGGGAGUGCAAAUCAUUAACAGCUGAGGGUUAGAUUAACACACCAUGGAUCGUAUCCUCUCCCAGGGACUCAUUUUCAUUUUCUCCAGGAGCCACUGAGGCUGGCCAUUUCCUUAAGGCCUCCAGUUCCUGUACGGAAAAUGUGGCAGGAGGAUGUAGCUGAUCCUUCUUUUUUUGGGAAAAGGCGUUCCUUCCGUCCUCUGCAUGGAGCUGGGUAGACUGAAGGGAAAGAAGUGGUGACCAUCCGACUGAGUCUGGGUAACCAAGAGAUUACAAUCAACUGGCUGGUAGGAGAAAGAAGUAAAGAAAAACUUCAAUGUUCUUGAUCAUUGCAUAGCAAAGAAAACCUCAGUCUACUUUGUUCCAUCCUUACUUUUGCUAUUUUGCAAAUAUUAUUUUCAUGAUUAAUAACUAAUCAGUCUGGAAAUUAAUGUGAUCCUUGCCUUUUAAAAUAAAUUGUAGAAAAAGUA